AGAGUUUGAUCAUGGCUCAGAUUGAACGCUGGCGGCAGGCCUAACACAUGCAAGUCGAACGGUAACAGGAAGAAGCUUGCUUCUUUGCUGACGAGUGGCGGACGGGUGAGUAAUGUCUGGGAAACUGCCUGAUGGAGGGGGAUAACUACUGGAAACGGUAGCUAAUACCGCAUAACGUCGCAAGACCAAAGAGGGGGACCUUCGGGCCUCUUGCCAUCGGAUGUGCCCAGAUGGGAUUAGCUAGUAGGUGGGGUAACGGCUCACCUAGGCGACGAUCCCUAGCUGGUCUGAGAGGAUGACCAGCCACACUGGAACUGAGACACGGUCCAGACUCCUACGGGAGGCAGCAGUGGGGAAUAUUGCACAAUGGGCGCAAGCCUGAUGCAGCCAUGCCGCGUGUAUGAAGAAGGCCUUCGGGUUGUAAAGUACUUUCAGCGGGGAGGAAGGGAGUAAAGUUAAUACCUUUGCUCAUUGACGUUACCCGCAGAAGAAGCACCGGCUAACUCCGUGCCAGCAGCCGCGGUAAUACGGAGGGUGCGAGCGUUAAUCGGAAUUACUGGGCGUAAAGCGCACGCAGGCGGUUUGUUAAGUCAGAUGUGAAAUCCCCGGGCUCAACCUGGGAACUGCAUCUGAUACUGGCAAGCUUGAGUCUCGUAGAGGGGGGUAGAAUUCCAGGUGUAGCGGUGAAAUGCGUAGAGAUCUGGAGGAAUACCGGUGGCGAAGGCGGCCCCCUGGACGAAGACUGACGCUCAGGUGCGAAAGCGUGGGGAGCAAACAGGAUUAGAUACCCUGGUAGUCCACGCCGUAAACGAUGUCGACUUGGAGGUUGUGCCCUUGAGGCGUGGCUUCCGGAGCUAACGCGUUAAGUCGACCGCCUGGGGAGUACGGCCGCAAGGUUAAAACUCAAAUGAAUUGACGGGGGCCCGCACAAGCGGUGGAGCAUGUGGUUUAAUUCGAUGCAACGCGAAGAACCUUACCUGGUCUUGACAUCCACAGAACUUUCCAGAGAUGGAUUGGUGCCUUCGGGAACUGUGAGACAGGUGCUGCAUGGCUGUCGUCAGCUCGUGUUGUGAAAUGUUGGGUUAAGUCCCGCAACGAGCGCAACCCUUAUCUUUUGUUGCCAGCGGUCCGGCCGGGAACUCAAAGGAGACUGCCAGUGAUAAACUGGAGGAAGGUGGGGAUGACGUCAAGUCAUCAUGGCCCUUACGACCAGGGCUACACACGUGCUACAAUGGCGCAUACAAAGAGAAGCGACCUCGCGAGAGCAAGCGGACCUCAUAAAGUGCGUCGUAGUCCGGAUUGGAGUCUGCAACUCGACUCCAUGAAGUCGGAAUCGCUAGUAAUCGUGGAUCAGAAUGCCACGGUGAAUACGUUCCCGGGCCUUGUACACACCGCCCGUCACACCAUGGGAGUGGGUUGCAAAAGAAGUAGGUAGCUUAACCUUCGGGAGGGCGCUUACCACUUUGUGAUUCAUGACUGGGGUGAAGUCGGAACAAGGUAACCGUAGGGGAACCUGCGGUUG
RNAcentral lists this ribosomal RNA (1522 nucleotides) under metagenome. Its description in RNAcentral is "bacterial SSU rRNA". It matches the Rfam family "Bacterial small subunit ribosomal RNA". The record is from RNAcentral.